RNAcentral lists this ribosomal RNA (857 nucleotides) under uncultured Gammaproteobacteria bacterium. RNAcentral describes it as "bacterial SSU rRNA". It matches the Rfam family "Bacterial small subunit ribosomal RNA", at positions 527 to 1382 of the family's 1533-position model. The record is from RNAcentral. Lineage: Bacteria; Pseudomonadati; Pseudomonadota; Gammaproteobacteria.
GGAGGGUCCAAGCGUUAAUCGGAAUUACUGGGCGUAAAGCGCGCGUAGGCGGUUUAAUAAGUUGUAUGUGAAAGCCCUGGGCUCAACCUAGGAACUGCAUACAAAACUAUUAAGCUUGAGGACGAGAGAGGAGAGUAGAAUUUCAGGUGUAGCGGUGAAAUGCGUAGAUAUCUGAAGGAAUACCAAUGGCGAAGGCAGCUCUCUGGCUCGUUUCUGACGCUAAGGUGCGAAAGCGUGGGUAGCAAACAGGAUUAGAUACCCUGGUAGUCCACGCCGUAAACGAUGAUAACUAGCCGUUGGGCAGAUUUAACUGUUCAGUGGCACAGCUAACGCAUUAAGUUAUCCGCCUGGGGAGUACGGCCGCAAGGCUAAAACUCAAAUGAAUUGACGGGGGCCCGCACAAGUGGUGGAGCAUGUGGUUUAAUUCGAUGCAACGCGAAGAACCUUACCAACCUUUGAAAUCCAGAGAAGUCACCAGAGAUGGAGAUGUGCCUUCGGGAACUCUGUGACAGGUGUUGCAUGGCUGUCGUCAGCUCGUGUCGUGAGAUGUAUGGUUAAGUCCAGUAACGAGCGCAACCCCUAUCCUUAUUUGCCAGCGCGUAAUGGCGGGAACUAUAGGGAGACUGCCGGUCAAAAACCGGAGGAAGGCGGGGACGAGGUCAAGUCAUCAUGGCCCUUAUAGGUUGGGCUACACACGUGCUACAAUGGGAUGUACAGAGGGUUGCGAAAGCGUGAGCUGGAGCCAAACCCUUAAAGCAUUUCGUAGUCCGGAUUGGAGUCUGCAACUCGACUCCAUGAAGUCGGAAUCACUAGUAAUCGCGAAUCAGAAUGUCGCGGUGAAUACGUUCUCGGGCCUU